GCCUUGCAGGGCUUGGCUUUGUAUCCUGUUGGGAUGAUCAUCUCUCCAGUGUGAUGACUAAGGGUUGUGUCCAGUUAGUGCACUAGCAACUGAAGUUAGGAAGGCUCGGGUGGACGCUGCCAACCAGCAAUCCAAUCUGCCUGAUGGCCAACCCUUUGACUGCUGGGAGCCUGGAGCUUUCUGAAUCAGACAACUUCCAGACUUCACAUGUGCUGCCAAGCACAAGAUAUAUUCUGGAAAAGAAGAGGAGGAGGAAGAAGAAUGACUGUAAAGGAAGGAGCAGUACUGUUUUCAUGAGGACCUACUAUGUGCCAGACAUUAUUCUAGGUGCUGGGGCUACCAUGGGAAACUUGCAGCUACUUGGGAGGCUAAGGUGGGAAGAUCGCUUGAGCCCAGGAGGUCGAGGCUGCGGUGAACCAAGAUUGUGACACUGCACUCCAGCCUGGGCAACAGAUGCUGUGUGAAGAUGAAGGCAGAGAUCAGGCUGAUGCUUAUGGAAAGCCAGAGAUUGCCAACAAACCACCAAAAGCUAGGAGAGAGGCCUGGAACAGAUUCUCUCUGAGUCCUCAGAAGGAACCAACCCUGCCAACACUGUGAUCUUGGACUUCUAAACCCCAGAACUGUGAAA
Molecule: long non-coding RNA, 628 nt
Filed under: Homo sapiens (human)
Lineage: Eukaryota; Metazoa; Chordata; Mammalia; Primates; Hominidae
Source: RNAcentral